RNAcentral lists this unclassified non-coding RNA (2842 nucleotides) under Hevea brasiliensis (rubber tree). Lineage: Eukaryota; Viridiplantae; Streptophyta; Magnoliopsida; Malpighiales; Euphorbiaceae. The record is from RNAcentral.
UUUUAGUCAAACAUCCAAUAUAAUUGAUACACAAGAUAAAAGUAAAGAUACAUCCAAAGACUACAUACUGGAGCCCCAAUGGAGGCUCGAGCGUGGGAGAACACCACACAUAUGCUUUCAAUUUCAUACACCGUCUAAACGUCAAAUCACAGACUUGCUUCAUUUACAAUUUUUAUUAAUUUUUUUAAUGUAGGAAAAAAUAAUUAGGCAAAGUGUUUCUCUGCUCUCGCGUCUCCAACAAGCACAUGGGCUUGCAUGGUAAAUUAUGCAAUCCUGCAGGCCACCAGGGGGUUAGCAUCUUUUCAACCACACUGCUCUUUUUUUGGCAUUCUUUUUCCAAUAGUCGUUCACCACAAGUCUAGGCAAACCUAUAUACAACUAUAUUCUGGAAAAUUUGUUCAACCUCUCCACCCCAUAACCUAAAUAAAAAUACAAAUUUUAGUUUAAUGCAUCACAAACCUACUUUCAGAAAAGAAAACCUUUUAUCCAUUAUUAACUUUAGCUAAAUAAGUUGAUGUUCAACCAAUAAUUCCACUGGAUUAGUUCUAACAUACAUAAAAUGACCAACAUCCAAAAUGACUUCAUUUAUUUUGGGAUUUUUCUGGGUUGGCAUACGCACACACUGGGAAUUUCACCCACAUGUUUGAUCCGAGCAGGGUCACUCAGGGUCCACCCACUACAAAAUCUUUCCCUUUUCAAUGGUCCAUUGAAAAGGUACAAAUUAGGUAGUUUAAAAACUGAUUAAAUCUAAAGAAAAACACAGAGAAUAAUAAAAAAGAUUUAUUUAUUUUUAAUACAUAGAAAUGGGCAAAGAGUUUGGGAUCAGACUGACGUGCAAAAGAUUAUUCGUCAGAGCUGGCACCUCUGUUAAUUUACUGUUUGAAUCUUGUCAUCAUUUCCCAGACUCCGCCACUAAGCAACAAAAGCUCACUCGAAUUCUAUAUCACUAAUGGAUUAUAAAACAUAAAAACAAGAUUAGCAGGGAAAAACAAAAAUAUAGAUAUCAAAAGGCCUCACGACUUGCUGAAGCGCGUGCACAACAAACGAAACCGGAGAGAUUCCAUGCCUUUCGGUCAAGAAACAACUACAGGAUUAGCUGGUGGUUAGAUCAGUAGAACAAGAAAGACAACAGUACAAAGAUAAGGAAACCACAUGAACAACAAGAACAACAGAACGAAAAGACCCCCUGCCGCUUAUAUACAACAUCCCCUUUUCAUAUGGUAAAUUGGCUUCACUUAAACUAGGAGAAAGAAAAAAAAAAUAUUAAGAAAAUCCCAUUGCAGAAAUCUCAAGAAUAGCACAAAACAAACUCUUAAAUGCUAAAUGAUGUUGUAGUUGUUACCCUUCUCAGUUUUACUCUUCUCUGUUAUGUUCGAUCAGUCCGGUUCCUGCUAUUCACCUGCUGUUGCUGCCCCUUGUUGCUCCCUUCUCUUUUUUGCGGCGACGAAGAAAACAGCUGACCAAACCCAAAUACGGAGACUGACUUGGAUGUCCCUCUCAGGGAACAAACGGGGACAUUGAGAACCGGAGUCACUCUCACGUUUGCUGAAUAUGACCUCUCCAUUCCCCUGUGCUUGAAUCUUGGGCCUCCGUUAAGGCUACUUGGACUGCUGGAACUCCUCUCCAAGCUCUGGAAUACUAUCUUCCCUGACGAAUUCAUUCUCGGACUGUCUACCGAAACCCCCCUGCUUGUCACCCCACUCGAUUCCCCAACUGCCCUCCGCAUCGGGCUCCUCCCUACUCUCGUACCAGCCGUAGGAUUAUUGCUACCGUUGCUAUUGCUAUUCCCAUUGGUCUCUGACCUGGGCUUCACCAUUCUCAUUCUAGGAGGAUUUUGGUUUGGAUUCCGAUUGAGAACAAAUGGGUUUGGGCUCGGAUUUGGAUUUUGGGGCGCGUUUAAACUCGGGUUUGGUUUCUCUGAAUCGAGAGAGAGUCUAGGGAGAUCUUCAUGCUCGUGGCUCGAAGACGAAGAAGAAAGCGAUAACCUAGAUGAGGAAAUGGAAACGGACUCGUAAUCCGAAUCCUUUAACAACGGCAAGCUCAAAGAGUGAUCUAAUGAAGAUGAGUUGCAACUGCAGGAUUUUGAGCUUCUAUGCAGGAAAUGCUUCAAAGAUUUUGGGUUAGGGUUAGAAGAAGAUGACGAUGUCGUUUUGUGGGAUUCAGCUUUAGCGUUCGCGUUCUGGUAGAGCUUUUUUAACCCCAAGAGCUCCUUCCAUCGGCUUGAACACCUGGGGGCUUUGGGAGAAAACAAGUAGGGGUCAGUAUUAGAUAUUUCCAUCUCCAUUCUACGGCAAGACUUCGCAGUCUCCGGCGACCUGAUCUCGCUCAGAGCAUUGGCAGGUUUGGCGCUCGUAACUUGCAGCGGCAUCAGCAUCCCGUCGGAGAAAAGCUCGUCGGCGGGGAGCAUAGUUACAGGAUCCUCCAGGCGGAACUCAAAGUCAACAGAAUCCAUAAUCUCGGACGGAACUUCAGCUGGAGUAUCGCAUGAGGCGGUCUUAGAGGAUCCAGGUUGCUUGGAGGCAUCCUCUUCACGGCUGAAGGAUAUUCGCGGACUCAACCAGCCGUAGGACGGGUAACUCGCCGGAGAGAAGUUCUCCGGUGACAUGCUGAUGUUGUUAACGCAAGCCGAGGCCAUGGCCUACGAUCAUUCAAUGAAAACAGUACUGGUAUAAUUGAAAGUGUCAGAGUGCUCGUGGGUUCGCGGAGAGCUGUAGCACAUUAACGGAAAUGCUCAGGUGGAUGAGAUCUAGAGAGAGAAAGAGAGGUUCUUUUGGCGAUUUUGUUGGGGUUUGGAAGUUAAAUGUGCGUAGAGUCCAAGUGGCUUUGUGCGUGUGCGCUCUAG